GAUGAACGCUAGCGGCAGGCUUAAUACAUGCAAGUCGUGGGCAGCAUGAGUAGCAAUACUUGAUGGCGACCGGCAAACGGGUGAGGAACACGUACACAACCUUCCUUCAAGCGGGGAAUAGCCCAGAGAAAUUUGGAUUAAUACCCCAUAAUAUAUUUGAUAAGGCAUCUUAUUAAUAUUAAAGCUUCGGCACUUGAUGAUGGGUGUGCGGCUGAUUAGAUAGUUGGCGGGGUAACGGCCCACCAAGUCUACGAUCAGUAGCUGAUGUGAGAGCAUGAUCAGCCACACGGGCACUGAGACACGGGCCCGACUCCUACGGGAGGCAGCAG
This 329-nucleotide ribosomal RNA is filed under the name uncultured bacterium. RNAcentral describes it as "bacterial SSU rRNA". It matches the Rfam family "Bacterial small subunit ribosomal RNA", at positions 28 to 354 of the family's 1533-position model. The record is from RNAcentral.